This 471-nucleotide ribosomal RNA is filed under the name Salmonella enterica. RNAcentral describes it as "partial 23S ribosomal RNA". It matches the Rfam family "Bacterial large subunit ribosomal RNA", at positions 741 to 1210 of the family's 2925-position model. The record is from RNAcentral. Lineage: Bacteria; Pseudomonadati; Pseudomonadota; Gammaproteobacteria; Enterobacterales; Enterobacteriaceae.
CAGGUUGAAGGUUGGGUAACACUAACUGGAGGACCGAACCGACUAAUGUUGAAAAAUUAGCGGAUGACCUGUGGCUGGGGGUGAAAGGCCAAUCAAACCGGGAGAUAGCUGGUUCUCCCCGAAAGCUAUUUAGGUAGCGCCUCGUGAAUUCAUCUCCGGGGGUAGAGCACUGUUUCGGCUAGGGGGCCAUCCCGGCUUACCAACCCGAUGCAAACUGCGAAUACCGGAGAAUGUUAUCACGGGAGACACACGGCGGGUGCUAACGUCCGUCGUGAAGAGGGAAACAACCCAGACCGCCAGCUAAGGUCCCAAAGUCAUGGUUAAGUGGGAAACGAUGUGGGAAGGCCCAGACAGCCAGGAUGUUGGCUUAGAAGCAGCCAUCAUUUAAAGAAAGCGUAAUAGCUCACUGGUCGAGUCGGCCUGCGCGGAAGAUGUAACGGGGCUAAACCAUGCACCGAAGCUGCGGCAGCG